GGAGGUGUGGCUCAGUGGUAAAGCAUUCACCUAGCACGCAUGAGGUUCUAGGUUCAAUCCCUAUCACCUUUU
RNAcentral lists this transfer RNA (72 nucleotides) under Mesocricetus auratus (golden hamster). It matches the Rfam family "tRNA". From Rfam's summary of the family: Transfer RNA (tRNA) molecules are approximately 80 nucleotides in length. Their secondary structure includes four short double-helical elements and three loops (D, anti-codon, and T loops). The record is from Rfam by way of RNAcentral. Lineage: Eukaryota; Metazoa; Chordata; Mammalia; Rodentia; Cricetidae.